UACGUAGGUCGCAAGCGUUAUCCGGAUUUAUUGGGCGUAAAGGGAACGCAGGCGGUCUUUUAAGUCUGAUGUGAAAGCCUUCGGCUUAACCGGAGUAGUGCAUUGGAAACUGGGAGACUUGAGUGCAGAAGAGGAGAGUGGAACUCCAUGUGUAGCGGUGAAAUGCGUAGAUAUAUGGAAGAACACCAGUGGCGAAAGCGGCUCUCUGGUCUGUAACUGACGCUGAGGUUCGAAAGCGUGGGUAGCAAACAGG
RNAcentral lists this ribosomal RNA (253 nucleotides) under uncultured bacterium. Its description in RNAcentral is "partial 16S ribosomal RNA". It matches the Rfam family "Bacterial small subunit ribosomal RNA", at positions 524 to 776 of the family's 1533-position model. The record is from RNAcentral.